GCCGUCGUGGCGUAAUGGUAGCGCGUCGCUUUCCUACCCACUCUUAUGUAAGCCACGUUAAGGCGAAGGUUGUGAGUUCGAGCCUCACCGUCGGUA
Non-coding RNA from Desarmillaria tabescens, 96 nucleotides. The record is from the annotation of a RefSeq genome assembly. NCBI's taxonomy places the organism in Eukaryota, Fungi, Basidiomycota, Agaricomycetes, Agaricales, Physalacriaceae.